UGGGGAAUAUUGGACAAUGGGGGAAACCCUGAUCCAGCAAUGCCGCGUGAGUGAAGAAGGCCUUAGGGUUGUAAAGCUCUUUCGCCCGCGAAGAUAAUGACGGUAGCGGGAGAAGAAGCCCCGGCUAACUCCGUGCCAGCAGCCGCGGUAAUACGGAGGGGGCUAGCGUUGUUCGGAAUUACUGGGCGUAAAGCGUACGUAGGCGGAUGCGCAAGUUGGGGGUGAAAUCCCGGGGCUUAACCUCGGAAUUGCCCUCAAAACUGCACGUCUUGAGACCGAGAGAGGUAAGGGGAAUUCCUAGUAUAGAGGUGAAAUUCGUAGAUAUUAGGAAGAACACCAGUGGCGAAGGCGCCUUACUGGCUCGGUACUGACGCUGAGGUACGAAAGCGUGGGGAGCAAACA
Molecule: ribosomal RNA, 402 nt
Filed under: uncultured bacterium
Lineage: Bacteria
Description: bacterial SSU rRNA
Rfam family: Bacterial small subunit ribosomal RNA
Source: RNAcentral